AGGGCAGCAGUCCCACCUCUUUAUAACACACACACACACACACACACACACACACGUGCUAGCGUGUGCACAGAGUUGCUGGUGAGAUCAUGGUAAACACUAGCCUGGUUGGGGGAUCAAAAUAACAGAAUGAUUUCCCUUCAUGGCUGGCGUAGAGGAACAAAUUAGACGGAUAAAUUAGCAGUUCCCAAAGACAUUAGCCACCACCCAGCUCACACAGUGAGCAUCUGACACACGGGAAGGAGGGGAAAGGCGGGGGACUCUCCAAGUCUUGGCCUAUGAAUAGACGCUCUUCCUCCCUCUCGGGGAGGGAAGCCAGAGUGCCCAGAACACCAAGGGGCAAGCCUCUGAAUAGUUUUAUUUUAAAAGACAAGCCUAAUUACCACUUUUUCUGGUUCCUUGAAGAAGAAGAAAGAGUUCCCCUGCAAGUCUCCAUUCACCGGGACCCGGUGCCCACCUGCAGGGCGGUGGAGUGGAUUAAAUGAGACACUUCGAGGCAAGAGUUUGCGCAGGUGCCAAUGUUGUCUUACCCAGCAACAAUUUCACUAGAGGAAGAGAGAGGGAGAGAAACAUCAAUGAUGAC
Long non-coding RNA from Myotis brandtii (Brandt's bat), 583 nucleotides. RefSeq lists it as uncharacterized. Lineage: Eukaryota; Metazoa; Chordata; Mammalia; Chiroptera; Vespertilionidae. The transcript has 3 exons. The record is from RefSeq and is a predicted model, not a curated record.